GGAGGUAGCUCAGUGGUAGAGCACUUGCUCAGCAAACAGGAGGUCCUGGGUUUGAUCCUCAGCACCA
This 67-nucleotide transfer RNA is filed under the name Marmota monax (woodchuck). Its description in RNAcentral is "tRNA.Ala". The stretch from base 5 to 63 matches the Rfam family "tRNA", at positions 7 to 64 of the family's 71-position model. Rfam says of the family: Transfer RNA (tRNA) molecules are approximately 80 nucleotides in length. Their secondary structure includes four short double-helical elements and three loops (D, anti-codon, and T loops). Further hydrogen bonds mediate the characteristic L-shaped molecular structure. tRNAs have two regions of fundamental functional importance: the anti-codon, which is responsible for specific mRNA codon recognition, and the 3' end, to which the tRNAs corresponding amino acid is attached (by aminoacyl-tRNA synthetases). tRNAs cope with the degeneracy of the genetic code in two manners: having more than one tRNA (with a specific anti-codon) for a particular amino acid; and 'wobble' base-pairing, i.e. permitting non-standard base-pairing at the 3rd anti-codon position. Lineage: Eukaryota; Metazoa; Chordata; Mammalia; Rodentia; Sciuridae. The record is from RNAcentral.